RNAcentral lists this long non-coding RNA (268 nucleotides) under Lynx canadensis (Canada lynx). RNAcentral's name for it is "lncRNA (ENSLCNG00005018294.1)". The record is from RNAcentral. Lineage: Eukaryota; Metazoa; Chordata; Mammalia; Carnivora; Felidae.
GGGGCAAGAGGUCUCCUGAGGGGGCGGGAGGCUCCAGCCUCCGGGACACAGAGAUGCGGAAACCUCCAGAUGCCUAGAAGGGUCGGAGGUGAUUCAGCAUCCCAUUAGGAACUUCCACACCAAACUCAAGGAAGAGAUCAGGCAAGAUUUGUGCUGGGCAGAUCUUUGAAGUGAGGCUGUCUGUGCUGGGCAGCCAAUCAGUAACCAAGGGCCAUGUGACCACUGCUCAGAGGGACCUGAACAGGCAGGUGAUGUGGUGAAUUAAGGG